Molecule: small nucleolar RNA, 138 nt
Organism: Ornithorhynchus anatinus (platypus)
Lineage: Eukaryota; Metazoa; Chordata; Mammalia; Monotremata; Ornithorhynchidae
Source: RefSeq, a predicted model, not a curated record
CCCCUCCCAGGAUCGCAACUGGAGAGUUUCCAGUACUCUACCAGUGUCAGCUAUGGGAGGGGGAGUCAAGCAGAGACCUAGCCAUUUCAUUCCUAGCUUGGCCAUUGGCUAGCAAGUGGAAGGCCAUCUGCUACAAGU